GCGUGUGUGGUUUAGGGGUAUAACAUUCGCUUCGCAUUUUCAGGGAGAUUCGCUGUGAAAGGUCUGGGGCUCAAUCCUCAACUCGUCUA
Molecule: non-coding RNA, 89 nt
Organism: Lasiosphaeris hirsuta
Lineage: Eukaryota; Fungi; Ascomycota; Sordariomycetes; Sordariales; Lasiosphaeriaceae
Source: the annotation of a GenBank genome assembly